Molecule: ribosomal RNA, 253 nt
Filed under: uncultured bacterium
Lineage: Bacteria
Description: partial 16S ribosomal RNA
Rfam family: Bacterial small subunit ribosomal RNA
Source: RNAcentral
UACAGAGGGGGCAAGCGUUGCUCGGAAUUACUGGGCGUAAAGGGCGCGUAGGCGGGAUGGCAAGUCGGUCGUGAAAUCCUUCGGCUCAACCGAAGAACGUCGGCCGAUACUGCCGUUCUUGAGGGAUGCAGAGGAGAUUGGAAUUCCCGGUGUAGCGGUGAAAUGUGUAGAGAUCGGGAGGAACACCGGUGGCGAAGGCGGGUCUCUGGGCAUCUCCUGACGCUGAGGCGCGAAAGCGCGGGGAGCGAACAGG